UGGGGAAUAUUGAACAAUGGGCGCAAGCCUGAUGCAGCCAUGCCGCGUGUAUGAAGAAGGCCUUCGGGUUGUAAAGUACUUUCAGCGGGGAGGAAGGGAGUAAAGUUAAUACCUUUGCUCAUUGACGUUACCCGCAGAAGAAGCACCGGCUAACUCCGUGCCAGCAGCCGCGGUAAUACGGAGGGUGCAAGCGUUAAUCGGAAUUACUGGGCGUAAAGCGCACGCAGGCGGUUUGUUAAGUCAGAUGUGAAAUCCCCGGGCUCAACCUGGGAACUGCAUCUGAUACUGGUCAGCUAGAGUCUUGUAGAGGGGGGUAGAAUUCCAUGUGUAGCGGUGAAAUGCGUAGAGAUGUGGAGGAAUACCGGUGGCGAAGGCGGCCCCCUGGACAAAGACUGACGCUCAGGUGCGAAAGCGUGGGGAGCAAACAGG
Molecule: ribosomal RNA, 429 nt
Filed under: Chloroflexota bacterium
Lineage: Bacteria; Bacillati; Chloroflexota
Description: Chloroflexi bacterium partial 16S ribosomal RNA
Rfam family: Bacterial small subunit ribosomal RNA
Source: RNAcentral